This 1377-nucleotide ribosomal RNA is filed under the name uncultured bacterium. Its description in RNAcentral is "bacterial SSU rRNA". It matches the Rfam family "Bacterial small subunit ribosomal RNA", at positions 28 to 1381 of the family's 1533-position model. The record is from RNAcentral.
GACGAACGCUGGCGGCGUGCCUAAUACAUGCAAGUGGAACGCAUUUUAAUCACCGUAGCUUGCUACACCGAAUAAAAUGAGUCGCGAACGGGUGAGUAACGCGUAGGUAACCUACCUUCUAGCGGGGGACAACUAUUGGAAACGAUAGCUAAUACCGCAUAAGACAUUAUAUCGCAUGAUAGGAUGUUAAAAGAUACAAUUGUAUCACUAGGAGAUGGACCUGCGUUGUAUUAGCUAGUUGGUGAGGUAACGGCUCACCAAGGCAGCGAUACAUAGCCGACCUGAGAGGGUGAUCGGCCACACUGGGACUGAGACACGGCCCAGACUCCUACGGGAGGCAGCAGUAGGGAAUCUUCGGCAAUGGGGGCAACCCUGACCGAGCAACGCCGCGUGAGUGAAGAAGGUUUUCGGAUCGUAAAGCUCUGUUGUAAGCGAAGAAGAGUGUUAGGAGUGGAAAAUCUAACACAUGACGGUAGCUUACCAGAAAGGGACGGCUAACUACGUGCCAGCAGCCGCGGUAAUACGUAGGUCUCGAGCGUUGUCCGGAUUUAUUGGGCGUAAAGCGAGCGCAGGCGGUUAGAUAAGUCAGAAGUUAAAGGCUGUGGCUCAACCAUAGUAUGCUUUUGAGACUGUUUAACUUGAGUGCAGAAGGGGAGAGUGGAAUUCCAUGUGUAGCGGUGAAAUGCGUAGAUAUAUGGAGGAACACCGGUGGCGAAAGCGGCUCUCUGGUCUGUGACUGACGCUGAGGCUCGAAAGCGUGGGUAGCGAACAGGAUUAGAUACCCUGGUAGUCCACGCCGUAAACGAUGAGUGCUAUGUGUUAGACCCUUUCCGGGGUCUAGUGCCGUAGCUAACGCAUUAAGCACUCCGCCUGGGGAGUACGACCGCAAGGUUGAAACUCAAAGGAAUUGACGGGGGCCCGCACAAGCGGUGGAGCAUGUGGUUUAAUUCGAAGCAACGCGAAGAACCUUACCAGGUCUUGACAUCCCUCUGACCGGUCUAGAGAUAGGCUUUCCCUUUUGGGCAGAGGAGACAGGUGGUGCAUGGUUGUCGUCAGCUCGUGUCGUGAGAUGUUGGGUUAAGUCCCGCAACGAGCGCAACCCUUAUUGUUAGUUGCCAUCAUUGAGUUGGGCACUCUAGCGAGACUGCCGGUAAUAAACCGGAGGAAGGUGGGGAUGACGUCAAAUCAUCAUGCCCCUUAUGACCUGGGCUACACACGUGCUACAAUGGUUGGUACAACGAGUCGCAAGCCGGUGACGGCAAGCUAAUCCCUUAAAGCCAAUCUCAGUUCGGAUUGUAGGCUGCAACUCGCCUACAUGAAGUCGGAAUCGCUAGUAAUCGCGGAUCAGCACGCCGCGGUGAAUACGUUCCCGGGCCU